GGCGCACGCGGCCGCGCGCAGCGCUUCACUUCACUUAAUUACGAACACCUGACCUGCAGUGCAGCAGAAUUCAGAGGUCCAGUUGAGGGGCAUCAAGAACACGCAGAUGGCCUAAACCUGUGUCAGCCUGGACAGACUGCAGUUCUGCUAUUCCACGCCAAGGCUUUUGUAUGGAUGUCUGACUACUACUGUGUUCUCUAAAGGUUUUCUGGAAGCUCCAUUUGAGUUCAUCAAGGACAUACUGAUGGCCUAAACCAGUGUCAGCCUAGACAGACAGACAGACAGACAUCUAUUGCAGCUCUGCUACACCACACCAAACUCUCUGCUUUUGUAUGGAUGUCUGACUAGUACGGUGUUCUCUAAAGGUAUAACUGGAGCAAAACAACAGCACCCGUUACAGUGAAAUUUGUGUUCAUAAAAGAUAGUGAUAUAUGUGUAACAGGUCCAGUACAUUUGUCAUAAAGGUUAAAUCACAGUAAGUACUGUAAAAAUAACUUGUUUGCCUUUGCCACAACAGGUCAU
Non-coding RNA from Danio rerio (zebrafish), 522 nucleotides. Lineage: Eukaryota; Metazoa; Chordata; Actinopteri; Cypriniformes; Danionidae. The record is from Ensembl.